UUCAUAUUUUAAUUUACAGGUGCCCGCAAGGGAGAAUAGGGAAUCAGGUGAGAUUCCUGGACGGACCCGCCACUGUAAGGGGAAGCUGUUGCUAAUGCCACUCCGUUUAGGGGGAAGGGGCAAUGAAGCGAUGAACCUGAGUCAGGAGACCUGCCUGUAGAAUUACCAUGCU
RNAcentral lists this non-coding RNA (172 nucleotides) under Peptococcaceae bacterium. The record is from RNAcentral. Lineage: Bacteria; Bacillati; Bacillota; Clostridia; Eubacteriales; Peptococcaceae.